Molecule: non-coding RNA, 1734 nt
Organism: Leptonychotes weddellii (Weddell seal)
Lineage: Eukaryota; Metazoa; Chordata; Mammalia; Carnivora; Phocidae
Source: RefSeq, a predicted model, not a curated record
CCUGCGCCUGGCGGGGACCUGGUCCCCGCCACCACCUGCCAGCGCGUCUAGACCAGCAACAACUUCGUAGCAUCCUGGAACCAUGAUAGACUUCUUAGCAGCUUUUUUUACUUUUAUGAUUCUCGGUAUUUCUAUGAUAUCACAGUAACCGAUUAAAUAUUCUGUAUAAUUUUACAUAUUAUUUUGCUUGAAUAAUUAAACCCGGGCCCAGGCAGAAAAUAGCCCCUCAUCUCUGUGCAGGGCUUCUUCCCUCGUUCUGAGUCUCCCCGAGGAUGCCACCUCACUGCCCCCCCUGAAGUACCUAGGGCAGGGCUUAUGCAGAAAUUUUUGUGCGAAACUAGGGGCCGUGGUGGGGACAGUUGGGAUCCCCCAGUCCAUGCCUCUCUCAGCUUGGCUGAGCUGUUGGAUUCCUGGGCCCCACCUCAGAAUUAUCCAUUCUAAAACUACCAGGACUAGGGGCAGAGGGGGUGCCUGGAAACGAACCAAUUUCCAGAAUGACUGAGCACUGUCCACAUUUGGCCAUCAUGGGCAACGUCAAGUGCGUUCAUGUUUAUGAAUGGGGACUCCGAGGCCCCCCCACAGGGCAAGACCUGGGACUUCUCACCAGGGAGAUGUUCCCACCAGGAUUUCCUGAUCUGGUGACUGUUGUUUCUGAGUAGUCCCGUUUUCCUGAUGGGUAAUCUUCCUGAAUUCUAAAAGGGUCCAGGUAAUCAAGAAACUUAAAAAAAAAAAGGCAUGAAACUCUUAACAAACAUUUUUCUGUAAUGUGUGCUUUUUUUUUCCUGAACCCACUGUUUUCUUAUGUUACUGACAUACUGAGCCCCCAAAAUCUGUUCAUUUCUCAGGAAAGAAAAAGUGGCCAUCCUAGAAUUUGCCAUUGUUUUCUCUGGCUUGGCUCCAAGAAGCCCUCGACAGCCCCUCCAUGAGUGAGCCGAGCACAUCUUGCUCCCUAAGGAGGAUGUCAGCUCCUACCUCAGCGGUGUGCACAGAGGUGAAACCAUCCCUGAGGACUGACCCACGUGUCACCUUUCUCAUACGGGUCAUUGCUCAACCCAGGGCUUGCCCGGGUCCCCAUCCGCUCCCGUCCACCCCGCCUAAAGACGUCUUCAACACGAAGUCUCUAACAGCGAACCAUCCUGCACUUUACAGAAUGACUGCCCUCAGCUUGGAAGUGAGUUCCGCUCUUUUGUAACAGGAAUAGAAUUUAUGUUCUGUUCUUCUGAGGGUGUGUUGGGGUCUCAAGAAACUGUCUUUCAGUUGCCUUAGUUAAAAGAGGUCAAUGAAUGUACAAAUGUGAUGGUGGAACGGGGCAGAGGGGAUCAACCUUCUGUGUCCGUUUUCUUUGAGAAAAGGCGCUCCACUUCUCAAAGCGGUUUGCUUGCAGUGGAAGGAAGACUGGAAUCCUUUGGGGUCAACUGAAGUCAGUCAUCACCACCAGCCCCCACCCCCACCCUUUCAAAAUUAGUAAGAUAUUUGACGAUCAAGCAAUUCGUUGGGUAUGUUCUGGCUACUAAUGUUACCAAAAUCUGUAAUUGUGUGUGCGUGUGUUUUAAUUUGUUGCUUUCGUAUUUGUAAUUUUAUGACACUCGAAGGUUUUCUGUGUCUUACCUAUUUUUAAUUAAUUUUCUGCACGUUGAUUUUUUUUCUUUGUUUUUAAUUCCAUACAGAAUAUUCAAUUCUCAAAACACAUUAAAAUGAUUUGCCUGCUAGGGUAUGGUUCAUUUUAUAAUUACA